UUGGAGGGCAAGUCUGGUGCCAGCAGCCGCGGUAAUUCCAGCUCCAAUAGCGUAUAUUAAAGUUGUUGCAGUUAAAAAGCUCGUAGUUGAAUUUCGGGAUCAAUACGUCGGUCGUGCUUAGGUACGUACUGGCGUAAUUGAUUUCUCCCUUCUGACGAACCAUGAUGUCAUUAACUUGGUGUCAUGGGAAAUCAGGACUGUUACUUUGAAAAAAUUAGAGUGUUUAAAGCAAGCUAACGCUUGAAUACAUUAGCAUGGAAUAAUGAAAUAGGACGUUCGAUCUUAUUUUGUUGGUUUCUAGGAUUGACGUAAUGAUUAAUAGGGAUAGUUGGGGGCAUUAGUAUUCAAUUGUCAGAGGUGAAAUUCUUGGAUUGAUUGAAGACUAACUAUUGCGAAAGCAUUUGCCAAGAAUGUUUUCAUUAAUCAAGAACGAAAGUUAGGGGAUCGAAGACGAUCAGAUACCGUCGUAGUCUUAACCAUAAACUAUGCCGACUAGGGAUGGAUGAUGUUAAUUUUUAAUGUACUCAUUC
This 530-nucleotide ribosomal RNA is filed under the name uncultured Glomeromycotina. RNAcentral describes it as "SSU rRNA". It matches the Rfam family "Eukaryotic small subunit ribosomal RNA", at positions 548 to 1082 of the family's 1831-position model. The record is from RNAcentral. Lineage: Eukaryota; Fungi; Glomeromycota.